GAUGAACGCUGGCGGCGUGCUUAACACAUGCAAGUCGAACGAACCUUCGGGUUAGUGGCGGACGGGUGAGUAACGCGUGAGAAUCUGCCCUCAGGAGGGGGAUAACGGUUGGAAACGACCGCUAAUACCCCAUGUGCCUAUUGGUGAAAUGAAUUUCGCCUGAGGAUGAGCUCGCGUCUGAUUAGCUAGUUGGUGAGGUAAUGGCUCACCAAGGCUUCGAUCAGUAGCUGGUCUGAGAGGAUGAUCAGCCACACUGGGACUGAGACACGGCCCAGACUCCUACGGGAGGCAGCAGUGGGGAAUUUUCCGCAAUGGGCGAAAGCCUGACGGAGCAACGCCGCGUGAGGGACGAAGGCCUCUGGGCUGUAAACCUCUUUUCUCAAGGAAGAAGAUAUGACGGUACUUGAGGAAUAAGCCACGGCUAAUUCCGUGCCAGCAGCCGCGGUAAUACGGGAGUGGCAAGCGUUAUCCGGAAUUAUUGGGCGUAAAGCGUCCGCAGGCGGCUUUUCAAGUCUGCUGUUAAGGCGUGGAGCUUAACUCCAUCAUGGCAGUGGAAACUGAAAGGCUUGAGUAUGGUAGGGGCAGAGGGAAUUCCCGGUGUAGCGGUGAAAUGCGUAGAUAUCGGGAAGAACACCAGUGGCGAAGGCGCUCUGCUGGGCCAUUACUGACGCUCAUGGACGAAAGCCAGGGGAGCGAAAGGGAUUAGAUACCCCUGUAGUCCUGGCCGUAAACGAUGAACACUAGGUGUCGGGGGAAUCGACCCCUUCGGUGUCGUAGCUAACGCGUUAAGUGUUCCGCCUGGGGAGUACGCACGCAAGUGUGAAACUCAAAGGAAUUGACGGGGGCCCGCACAAGCGGUGGAGUAUGUGGUUUAAUUCGAUGCAACGCGAAGAACCUUACCAGGGUUUGACAUCCUGCGAACCUCUUAGAAAUUUGAGGGUGCCUUCGGGAAUGCAGUGACAGGUGGUGCAUGGCUGUCGUCAGCUCGUGUCGUGAGAUGUUGGGUUAAGUCCCGCAACGAGCGCAACCCACGUUUUUAGUUGCCAGCAUUUAGUUGGGCACUCUAGAAAGACCGCCGGUGAUAAACCGGAGGAAGGUGUGGAUGACGUCAAGUCAUCAUGCCCCUUACACCCUGGGCUACACACGUACUACAAUGCUACGGACAAAGGGCAGCAAACUCGCGAGAGCUAGCAAAUCCCAUAAACCGUGGCUCAGUUCAGAUCGUAGGCUGCAACUCGCCUACGUGAAGUAGGAAUCGCUAGUAAUCGCAGGUCAGCAUACUGCGGUGAAUACGUUCCCGGGCCUUGUACACACCGCCCGUCACACCAUGGAAGUUGGCCAUGCCCGAAGUCGUUACUCCAACCCUUGUGGAGGAGGACGCCGAAGGUGGGGCUAAUGACUGGGGUG
RNAcentral lists this ribosomal RNA (1407 nucleotides) under uncultured bacterium. RNAcentral describes it as "bacterial SSU rRNA". It matches the Rfam family "Bacterial small subunit ribosomal RNA". The record is from RNAcentral.